RNAcentral lists this transfer RNA (81 nucleotides) under Bos taurus (domestic cattle). It matches the Rfam family "tRNA". From Rfam's summary of the family: Transfer RNA (tRNA) molecules are approximately 80 nucleotides in length. Their secondary structure includes four short double-helical elements and three loops (D, anti-codon, and T loops). The record is from Rfam by way of RNAcentral. RNAcentral also lists the same sequence under 4 other names. Lineage: Eukaryota; Metazoa; Chordata; Mammalia; Artiodactyla; Bovidae.
UCCCAGGUGGCUCAGUGGUAAAGAAUCUGCCUGUCAAUACAGGAGAUGCAGAAGGCAUGGGUUCGAUCCCUGUUUCAGGAA